AUUUGACCUUUUCAAUUGUGAUUUUGUAUUCAACUUAUAUGCUCUGUAUUUUAUCCUUUUUUUUCCAGGGGAAAGCCUUGGUAUGAACCUGAUUGGUGGAAAUUUGGGGAUGAAAAAUCGUAUUUCCGACAUGCAUCUGGUUCACUUGUUAUACUUUCAAAGAAUUUGGCACAGUACAUUAACAUAAACAGUGUAUCUUUGAAGACAU
This is a long non-coding RNA of Lathyrus oleraceus (garden pea), 208 nucleotides long. RefSeq lists it as uncharacterized. NCBI's taxonomy places the organism in Eukaryota, Viridiplantae, Streptophyta, Magnoliopsida, Fabales, Fabaceae. The transcript has 3 exons. The record is from RefSeq and is a predicted model, not a curated record.